This is a long non-coding RNA of Cotesia glomerata, 387 nucleotides long. RefSeq lists it as uncharacterized. The record is from RefSeq and is a predicted model, not a curated record. The transcript is spliced from 2 exons. Lineage: Eukaryota; Metazoa; Arthropoda; Insecta; Hymenoptera; Braconidae.
CCGGAAAAUUAUUAUAAAUGCGGAGAUUGAGUGCGUAGAGCAUCAGAAAAUAAAAACUGCGCACCAUGUCGAAAAUAACUUUAAUUCUCUUCAUUCUCGGUGUUUUACUGACUAUUACAUUGGCGGCUGAUGACAAAAAAGAAGAAACUUGUGAGGGACAAUGGUGCCAUGUUAUGAAACAACAUAUAUAUGGCUGUUGUAAUGAGAAAUUUGUGUGUCGGCUAGUCAAUCCUUGGAAAUUUUGGAGUAGUGAAGGACAGUGCACAUGGAAAUGAACCUACAGAUAUAAUUAUUGCAAUAAUUGGGUUAAGACAGGCAAUGUAUUGUUUAUUUGAAGGAAUUUCAUGAGUUAUUAUAAUAAAUCUUACUUAUUGAAUAAAUCAUAAA